GAUGAACGCUGGCGGCGUGCCUAAUACAUGCAAGUCGAGCGAACGGUCGAGAAGCUCGCUUCUCUGAUGUUAGCGGCGGAUGGGUGUGUAUCACGUGGAUAACCUACCUAUAAGACUGGGAUAACUUUGGGAAACCUGAGCUAAUACCGGAUAAUAUUUUGAACAGCUUGGUUCAAAUGUGAACGACGUUCUUGCUGUCCCUUAUAGAUAGAUCCGUGCUGCAUUAGCUUUUUGGUAAGGUAACGGCUUACUAAGGCAACGAUGCAUAGCCGACAUGGGAGAGUGAUCGGCCACACUGGAUCUUAGAAUCAGUCCAGACUCCUACGGGAGGCACAAGUAGGCAAUCUUCCGCAAUGGGCGAAAGCCGGACGUGACAACGCCGCGUCAAAGAUGAGGGUCGUCGGAUCGUAAAACGCUGUUAGUAGGGAAGAACAGAUGUGGAAGUAACUGCUCACAUCUUGACGGUACCUAAUCAGAAAGACACGGCUAACUACGUG
Molecule: ribosomal RNA, 497 nt
Filed under: uncultured bacterium
Lineage: Bacteria
Description: partial 16S ribosomal RNA
Rfam family: Bacterial small subunit ribosomal RNA
Source: RNAcentral